UACGUAGGGUGCAAGCGUUAAUCGGAAUUACUGGGCGUAAAGCGUGCGCAGGCGGUUUUGUAAGUCUGUCGUGAAAUCCCCGGGCUCAACCUGGGAAUUGCGUUGGAGACUGCAAGGCUAGAAUCUGGCAGAGGGGGGUAGAAUUUCACGUGUAGCAGUGAAAUGCGUAGAGAUGUGGAGGAACACCGAUGGCGAAGGCAACCCCCUGGGUCAAGAUUUACGCU
RNAcentral lists this ribosomal RNA (224 nucleotides) under uncultured bacterium. RNAcentral's name for it is "partial 16S ribosomal RNA". It matches the Rfam family "Bacterial small subunit ribosomal RNA", at positions 524 to 747 of the family's 1533-position model. The record is from RNAcentral.